RNAcentral lists this ribosomal RNA (200 nucleotides) under uncultured eukaryote. Its description in RNAcentral is "partial 18S ribosomal RNA". It matches the Rfam family "Eukaryotic small subunit ribosomal RNA", at positions 588 to 848 of the family's 1831-position model. The record is from RNAcentral.
GCUCCAAUAGCGUAUACUAAAGUUGUUGCAGUUAAAAAGCUCGUAGUUGGAUUUCUGGCGGGGACGGGCUCCUGGGCUUCACUGUCCGGGACUCGGAGUCGGCGAGGUUACUUUGAGUAAAUUAGAGUGUUCAAGCAGGCCACCGCUCUGAAUACAUUAGCAUGGAAUAACACGAUAGGACUCUGGCCUAUCUUGUUGGU